Labeo rohita (rohu) is the source of this 884-nucleotide long non-coding RNA. RefSeq lists it as uncharacterized. NCBI's taxonomy places the organism in Eukaryota, Metazoa, Chordata, Actinopteri, Cypriniformes, Cyprinidae. The transcript is spliced from 6 exons. The record is from RefSeq and is a predicted model, not a curated record.
AAAAACUGAAAGAUUAUGACAGAAAACCUUUUCAUUUGGAAUAACAUGCACCGAUAAAUCAAGACCAAGAAGGUGAAGCUGUCAUGAGUCAAACUAAAACAACAAAGGAGCAACGGAAGCAAUUUUCAGAGGGAAGACUCCAGGCGACCUCUUUGUCUCAGCAGGGGAAGGACGGGGACAAAGGAUAACACAAACUGAGAGCGUUUGUGUGAAAAAUAGACACAGAAUCACUCUAAGUGUGUGACUUCGGGAGCUGUGUGCAGUCACUCGAGGACAGGAAGAUAAAGUCACCUGACAUCAUCCAGACUGUAAAUAAAGACUCACCUGAAAGAUCGCAGGAGACGGUAUGCCUUACCCAGGUCUGAAACACGUCUGCAAAGAGGAGCCACGGCCAACUCCAUCUGUAACACAUGCAUAAAGCUUAUGUAUGACAUCAGAAGACUAAAGAAAUAAGAGUCUUUUGUUGUUUUUUUGGAGCUGGACAUUCCUAUUCCCCAUUUACUUUGUGUUUCAUGAUUGAAAGAAAGUUAAAUAUGGAUUCGAAACAAUAUGAGGAAUUUGACAGCCACAGUUUCCCAUUUACAUUGUGUUUAAUUGAUGAAAGAAAUCUGAAUACGGAUUUUAAACAACGCGAAGAAACCUAACGAAUGAAUUCAGAAGACUUCAGAAAAAUUACCUUUUUCUUGUCAUUUUUUGAGCUUGAGAGCCCCUCUUUCCAAAAUGAUGAUAACUGACUCGAAACAACAUGAGGAAAGCUUCCAUACAACAACAGAACACUUUAGACGGACCGUUUUUUCUACUUUUGGAGGUUUUUGGACCUUAACAGCCCUAGUUCCCGUUUACUUUGUGUUUCAUGUACAAAAGAAAAUUAGGAAGGCUGACCC